RNAcentral lists this ribosomal RNA (305 nucleotides) under uncultured bacterium. RNAcentral's name for it is "partial 16S ribosomal RNA". It matches the Rfam family "Bacterial small subunit ribosomal RNA", at positions 505 to 807 of the family's 1533-position model. The record is from RNAcentral.
ACAGCAGCAGCCGCGGGAAAACAGAGGGUGCGAGCGUUAAUCGGAUUUACUGGGCGUAAAGCGUGCGUAGGCGGCUUCUUAAGUCGGAUGUGAAAUCCCUGAGCUUAACUUAGGAAUUGCAUUCGAUACUGGGAAGCUAGAGUAUGGGAGAGGAUGGUAGAAUUCCAGGUGUAGCGGUGAAAUGCGUAGAGAUCCGGAGGAAUACCGAUGGCGAAGGCAGCCAUCUGGCCUAAUACUGACGCUGAGGUACGAAAGCAUGGGGAGCAAACAGGAUUAGAUACCCCCGUAGUCCCUGUCUCUUAUAC